RNAcentral lists this unclassified non-coding RNA (141 nucleotides) under Juncorrhiza tenuis. RNAcentral describes it as "partial internal transcribed spacer 2". The record is from RNAcentral. Lineage: Eukaryota; Fungi; Entorrhizomycetes; Entorrhizales; Entorrhizaceae.
ACUACUCACCCAAAUCCAUUGGAUGGUCUUGAGCUUGCGUUGGCUAGCUCGAAAUUAAUAGGGUAAACACCUACCAUGUCUAUCGUCAUAUUUAUUUGCGAUAUAUCUAGUGGUACUUAGUAACCCAUAAUAAUUUUUUAA